CCCUGAACUUUAGCGGAAGCUUACCAACCACUUGCACAGAUCCGCCGUGUACACAACCACCUCUAGUGUAUACCAGACGUCUACAAUCAAUAUAGCAAAAGUAUAACUUCUUAACCAGGUAAUCAGAGCAAAACUAAAACUUCAUAACUUUAUACCAAAACAAUACCAAAUUACAGUUUAGAAGUAAAGUACAAAGUACAUUCUAAAUAGUCCCAAAA
This 218-nucleotide long non-coding RNA is filed under the name Ananas comosus (pineapple). Its description in RNAcentral is "long non-coding RNA (ACOM_LNC034574)". The record is from RNAcentral. Lineage: Eukaryota; Viridiplantae; Streptophyta; Magnoliopsida; Poales; Bromeliaceae.